This is a long non-coding RNA of Frieseomelitta varia, 2061 nucleotides long. RefSeq lists it as uncharacterized. Lineage: Eukaryota; Metazoa; Arthropoda; Insecta; Hymenoptera; Apidae. The record is from RefSeq and is a predicted model, not a curated record. The transcript has 3 exons.
UCAAACGUUCACGAAUCAUUUGUCAAAGAACCAUUUACCAAGGCUGAGAAGAUUUGUUUCCGUUUUCUCGGCGUUGUAAGACUCGUAGAGAUUAUCGGCCUCAGCCUGCGACUCGCAUCCUGCUUCCAUCGUGAGACAAACUGCGACACACCCACUGUUCCCAGAACGUCGAACUUCGCCACGAAUUUCCGGUCGAAUCGAAAGCAACGCGCGCGCGAGAUAUUCGCGAAAAAACGCGCAGUUUUCACGUUUCUAUAAACAGUCGUGGAAUUAUCCUUUAGCGCAGGAAGGGGAAUCGAGUUGAUCGUAGUCGAUUCUAAACACUGACAAUAUUCACAGAUCUCGUGAAAUACUCAACGAUUGCCCGUACAAAUACUUUGUAUAUGUACGUUCGCCUCACAACAAACACGUUACAAUGACGUAUAGUAUCAAGAAUACAUUGCUCCUUAUCCGUUUAUCUCUGCCUAAUACUUUUUUUUUUCAGAACGAUGAGGGAACGCACGAUACAGCGAGCAAACAGUCACGUGCUUAUCGGAAUAUUGGCGAGAUUUGCACACAGGGACCCGUGACGAUCGACAAAACGGUACUGAUUGUCAAUCAAGUUGUCGGUAAAGCGACCGGCUUCCAAGCCGGAGAAUAGAAGCCUGGAGGAGGAGGCAAGUUGAACUGGAGAAGGAGAAGGAACAGGAGUUGGAGGGAGUAUUCUCGCAACAAGGGAAGUAGAAACCCGAGGCGGGUUCGAGACGAAGGAAAAGCAACCUAACCAGCUACGAAGAAAUGGUUCGCGGAUAAAACCUGAACUAGACGGAUGCCCGUGAAUCGGCUGGAUGUGCUUUUUCGCGGAAAUUGUAGCGUUCUUUGAAUCAAAUGCCUUAACUCAAAGGCUGGGAAACGACGGCGAAACGAGUACAAAGUAAUUUGAAUACUGGUGGCUUGAAAAAAACCAAAUGCGACGCGUAUUUUGCUUGCGUACUUUGUUGAUAAAAUAAAUUGUUAAGAGAAAGUUUAUCUCUUUGAGUUAAUAUAACAACGCGUUUGAAUGGGAUUCGUUGUUGGCAGAAAGCCUACCAAGCUUCCUCAGAUCUAUUUUAUACUUCUGAAUCAUACGGCCAAUUUCAACAUUAAUAUUACGCGAUAUGCGUAACGCACUUUCGUUAUAAAUCUCGGAGAUUAGAUGGGGGAUUAGACGUACGAUGAUAGCUUCAAAUGGUUAAUAAAUCCUAUAUUAUAAUUGCAGAUAUUUAAAUUGAGAUAUACUAUAAUAUAUUCUUGUUCUUACUAUAUUACGCUGAGUACGUUUAGUACUUAUGUUACGUUUGCUCUGAUUAAGCAAAACAAAAGAUUCAUCUUAAAAAAAGCAUGUAAUAAGAGUACAAUUAGAAUUUGAUGCAAUCAUAAUAUUUGCAUCGAUCUCUAUGCAUAGACAAAGUUAGUGAGUAACUCUCAUUAACUCAUACUCCCAUUGAUCAAAUUUACUUACUUAUAUACUGUUCCCAACGUGCGUGUCUUUGGAUCGUCGCCAAUCGAGCUGGUGUAAUAGGCGAUACAGGAUUCAUAAUGUUGGUUAUAUCACUCUGUUUUCAACGACAUGGCACCAAAUUAAACAACGCUUUAAACUUAAUUGGAAUGUAGAAUGAAAAUUGAAACUUCAAGAAUGUGAUUCUCUUCGAUUCUUUUCGAUCGAUUUCAGAUGAACUUAUUUAAGACCGAGUGAUCGUUGAACACUAGCUUUUGAUUCUUUCUACUAGCAGAGAGAUGCAGACACAAAUGAGGAACGGCAAUGAAUACAAGGCCGCAGUUUGGCUAGAGAAACAAUCUGUUCAAAACAUUCUAUAGAUAUAAAUCCCCUCCCCUGCCAAUUACUAAUUACUGCAUACUUCGCAUGAAAUUAAGCAUCCAAAAUAACAUUUGUCAUUGCGAGUUUAACGAGCAGACAUAUGGAGAUAAAAUAAAAAUUAUUCCAUACCACUUUAAGUUAUUGUCGAGUGCAACGUGUCGAAAAUAAUGAGCAAACGAAGAAAUUAUUGUUAGAAGGCACGUAUGUAUGUGUUGCGAGACCAG